GCCGUUGGCCAUAGCACCCUGAACACGCCCAGUCUUGUCUGAUCUUGGAAACUCAGCAGGGCUGGGCCCAGUUUGUACUUGGAUGAAAGAUGGCCUGGAAAUACUGGGUGCUGUAGCAC
Podarcis lilfordi (Lilford's wall lizard) is the source of this 119-nucleotide non-coding RNA. The record is from the annotation of a GenBank genome assembly. NCBI's taxonomy places the organism in Eukaryota, Metazoa, Chordata, Lepidosauria, Squamata, Lacertidae.